Molecule: long non-coding RNA, 882 nt
Organism: Lacerta agilis (Sand lizard)
Lineage: Eukaryota; Metazoa; Chordata; Lepidosauria; Squamata; Lacertidae
Exons: 4
Source: RefSeq, a predicted model, not a curated record
ACUCAGUAUAAGGCAACUUCCUGUGUUCCCAUGUCAAACAAUUUGUGCCCAUUGUCAGUUUUGUUUUCCUUCCACAGGCACAAUACCACGAGGAAGCAAAGCUGUUCUUAUUUCCAAUUCAGUUAAAAGCUCCAUGACUGCUCUUUGUGCUUUUUUGAUAAAAGGAGGAGGAAAGGAAGUAUCGAUUAUAGAUUUCUUGUUUACGAUUGGCUUAUUCUGGAGGUAUUAUACCUGUGCAAAGCCAACACUUUUUUUGGUACAAUUGCUGUGGGGAAGCUACAGCGCACAAUUAUCAAAGACUGAAAUACAUAGGGACAUGCAGCAGGAGGGUAAAAGCGUGGCAGCAGGUGACUGAAGCAGGGACGAAGCAAGGUGACAGCACAGGAGAGAUACCUUAAGCAGGAACCAUUUCUUGGAUACCCAUUCCCUCUGCAAAUGGAAGGAGCUCUUCCAUGGCUGGAACUCCAAGGAUCCUAAGCAUUUAUACUAAGAAGUCUCACUGAGUUCAAUAUAGAGUGUGCCUGCCACUUCUACAAACAAAGAAGAGACAGGUCCCUGCCUGGAGGAAUUUACAAACUGUGACAGGUAUUCACUCCUUUCCAUGUCAGGCCUUCUGGAAACAACUGGAUCUGACACUUUUCAGGUGUCAAACUAUAACCAAUAGAAAACAAAAACAAACCAACAAAACUCAUCCAAUGAAAACCAUGCAGGCACAGCUGACAAAAUGUGACCAGUUGGAACUAUGGGAUGGAUCUAUAGCAACAGUGCAAUCCUGGCCAUGUCCACUCAGAAUUAAGUCCUAGUGAAUGCAAUGGUGCUUACUCCUGGGUAAGUGGAGUUGAGAUUGUAGCUGUACUUCAACCCCACUGAAAAUAACUUAAG